Pseudonaja textilis is the source of this 71-nucleotide non-coding RNA. The record is from RefSeq and is a predicted model, not a curated record. Lineage: Eukaryota; Metazoa; Chordata; Lepidosauria; Squamata; Elapidae.
UCUUACAGAUUAUAGCCAGUCAGCAACACAGAGUUAUGGGGCCUACCCAACUCCACCCCCACAAGGUUAUU